This is a non-coding RNA of Callithrix jacchus (white-tufted-ear marmoset), 2363 nucleotides long. Lineage: Eukaryota; Metazoa; Chordata; Mammalia; Primates; Cebidae. The record is from RefSeq and is a predicted model, not a curated record.
ACUGCUGUGUCCUUUUCUUCUAGAGGCCCAUCCUGCAUGGCCCUGUGACCUGCAGAUAUUUGGAGAUCCACAGCUAAGAUGCCAGGAAGCCCUGGAAUUCUAGAAAUGGGACCAUUGACAUUUAUGGAUGUGGCCAUAGAAUUUUCUCUGGAGGAGUGGCAGUGCCUGGACACAGCACAGCAGAAUUUAUAUAGAAAUGUGAUGUUAGAAAAGUACAGAAACUAUGUCUUCCUGGGUAUCGCUGUGUCUAAUUUAGCCUGAUCACCUGUCUGGAGCAAGGAAAAGAGCCCUGGAAUAUGAAGAAACAUGAGAUGGUAGCCAAAUCCCCAGUUAUAUGUUCUGAUUUUGCCAAAGACCUUUGGCCUGAGCAAGAUAUAAAAAAUUCUUUCCAACAAGUAAUUCCGACAAGGUAUGGAAAAUGUGGCCAUCAGAAUUUACAAUUAAGGAAAAACUGUAAAAGUGUGGAUGAGUGUAAGGUGCACAAAGGAGGUCAUAAUGGACUUAACCAGGGUGCGACAACCAUCCAGAGCAAAAUAGCUUAUUAUGAGAAAUGUGUGCAAGUCUUUCAUAAAUAUUCAAAUUCAAAGAGAUGUAAGAUGAGACAUUCUGGAAAAAAUCAUUUUAGAUGUAAAAAAUGUGGCAAAUCAUUUUGUGUGCUUUUACAACUAUCACAACAUGAGAUAAGUCAUGCUGGAGAGAAACCCAAAUGUGAAGAAUGUGGCAAAGCCUUUUAAAAAGUCCUCCACCCUUACUAAUCAUAAGAUAAUUUAUACUGGAGAGAAGUCCUACAAAUGUAAUGAAUGUGGAAAAGCUUUUAACCAAUCCUCAACUCUUACUAGACAUAAGAUAAUUCAUACUGAAGAGAAACUCUAUAAAUGUGAAGAAUGCGGAAAAGCUUUUAACCUGUCCUCAAACCUUUCUAAACAUAAGAUAAUUCAUACUGGAGAGAAACCCGACAAAUGUAAAGAAUGUGGCAAAGCUUUUACACAGUCCUCAAACCUUACUAAAAAUAAGAAAAUUCAUACUGGAGAGAAACCAUACAAAUGUGAAGAAUGUGGCAAAGCCUUUACCCUAUCUUCACACCUUACUACACAUAAGAGAAUUCACACUGGAGAGAAAUCCAACAAAUGUGAAGAAUGUGGCAAAGCCUUUAGUGUAUUCUCAACCCUUAGUAAACAUAAGAUAAUUCAUACUGAAGAGAAACCCUACAAAUGUGAAGAAUGUGGCAAAACUUUCAACUACUCCUCAAAUUUUACUAAUCAUAAAAAAAAAUCAUACUGGAGAGAAACCCUAUAAAUGUGAAGAAUGUGGCAGAGCUUUUAACCAGUCCUCACACCUUACUAAUCAUAAGGUAAUUCAUACUGGAGAGAAACCCUACAAAUGUGAAGAAUGUGGUAAAGCCUUUAGUAUAUUCUCAAUUCUUACUAAACAUAAGGUAAUUCAUACUGAAGAGAAACCCUACAAAUGUGAAGAAUGAGGCAAAACUUUCAACUACUCCUCAAAUUUUACUAAUCAUAAAAAAAUUCAUACUGGAGAGAAACCCUAUAAAUGUGAAGAAUGUGGUAAAGACUUUAUUCUGUCCUCUCACCUUACUACACAUAAGAUGAAGAUGAAGAAUACUGGGGAGAGACCCUAAAAAUGUAAAGAAUGUGGCAAAGCCUUUAACCAGUCUUCAACUCUUAUGAAACAUAAGAUAAUGCAUACUGGCGAGAAACCCUACAAAUGUGAAGAAUGUGGCAAAACCUUUAACCGGACCCAAACCUUACUAAACAUAAGAAAAUUCAUACCAAAGAGAACCCCUACAAAUGUAAAUAAUGUGUCAAAGCAUUUAAUGUAUUUUCCACUUUUAUUAAAACACAAGAUAAUUCAUACUGGAGAGAACCCCUACAAAUGUGAUAAAUGUGGCAAUGCCUUUAACCAGCUCUUACACCUUACUGAACAUAACAUAAUUCAUACUAGAGAGAAACCAGCAAAUGUAAAGAAUGUGGAAGCAUUUACCUGAUCCUCAAAUCUUACUAAACAUAAGAAAAUUUAUACUGGAGAGAAGCUACAAACCUGGAAGACAUCAGUAAUUUUGACAACACCUCAAACUUUUCUAAACAUGAAAGAAAUCGUACUGGCGAGAAACUUUAAACAUGUAAAAAAUAUGACAAAACCUUUAAAUGAUUGUCACACUUGAUUGUAGGUAAGAUAAUUCUUACUAGAAAAACUCUUACAAGUGUGAAGAAUGGCAAUUUAUUUUUCAGAGACAGAGUUUUGCUCUUUCACCCAGGCUGGAGUGCACUGGCAUGAUCAUUGGCUCACUGCAAUCUCCACCUUCUGGUUUCGGGUGAUUCUCCUGCCUCAGCCACUAAAGUGGCUGG